UACGAAGGGGGCUAGCGUUGUUCGGAAUUACUGGGCGUAAAGCGUACGUAGGCGGAUCUGUAAGUAGGGGGUGAAAUCCCCAGGCUCAACCUGGGAACUGCCUUCUAGACUGCAAGUCUUGAGAUCAGGAGAGGCGAGUGGAAUUCCGAGUGUAGAGGUGAAAUUCGUAGAUAUUCGGAGGAACACCAGUGGCGAAGGCGACUCGCUGGACUGAUACUGACGCUGAGGUACGAAAGCGUGGGGAGCAAACAGG
RNAcentral lists this ribosomal RNA (253 nucleotides) under uncultured bacterium. Its description in RNAcentral is "partial 16S ribosomal RNA". It matches the Rfam family "Bacterial small subunit ribosomal RNA", at positions 524 to 776 of the family's 1533-position model. The record is from RNAcentral.